RNAcentral lists this ribosomal RNA (498 nucleotides) under uncultured bacterium. RNAcentral describes it as "partial 16S ribosomal RNA". It matches the Rfam family "Bacterial small subunit ribosomal RNA", at positions 28 to 523 of the family's 1533-position model. The record is from RNAcentral.
GAUGAACGCUAGCGGCAGGCCUAAUACAUGCAAGUCGGACGGGAUUGGAGAGCUUGCUUUCCAUGAGAGUGGCGCACGGGUGCGUAACACGUAUGUAACCUACCUUGUUCAGGGGGAUAGCCUCUCGAAAGAGAGAUUAAGACCGCAUAACAUUGCGAUGUGGCAUCACAUUGUAAUCAAAUAUUUAUAGGAACAAGAUGGGCAUGCGGAACAUUAGCUAGUUGGUAAGGUAACGGCUUACCAAGGCUACGAUGUUUAGGGGAUCUGAGAGGAUGACCCACCAAACUGGUACUGAGACAAGGACCAGACUCCUACGGGAGGCAGCAGUAAGGAAUAUUGGUCGAUGGGCGGAAGCCUGAACCAGCCAUGCCGCGUGCAGGAAGACGGCCCUAUGGGUUGUAAACUGCUUUUGCAGGGGAAUAAACCUUGGUACGUGUACCAAGCUGAAUGUACUCUGAGAAUAAGGAUCGGCUAACCCCGUGCCAGCAGCCGCCGUAA